CCUACGGGGCGCAGCAGUGGGGAAUAUUGGACAAUGGGCGAAAGCCUGAUCCAGCCAUGCCGCGUGUGUGAAGAAGGCCUUCGGGUUGUAAAGCACUUUCAGUGGGGAAGAAAGCCUUGGGGCUAAUACCCUCGAGGAAGGACAUCACCCACAGAAGAAGCACCGGCUAACUCCGUGCCAGCAGCCGCGGUAAUACGGAGGGUGCGAGCGUUAAUCGGAAUUACUGGGCGUAAAGCGCGCGUAGGCGGUCUGAUAAGCCGGUUGUGAAAGCCCCGGGCUCAACCUGGGAACGGCAUCCGGAACUGUCAGGCUAGAGUGCAGGAGAGGAAGGUAGAAUUCCCGGUGUAGCGGUGAAAUGCGUAGAGAUCGGGAGGAAUACCAGUGGCGAAGGCGGCCUUCUGGACUGACACUGACGCUGAGGUGCGAAAGCGUGGGUAGCAAACAGGAUUAGAUUACCCUAGUAGUC
RNAcentral lists this ribosomal RNA (466 nucleotides) under Vreelandella stevensii. RNAcentral's name for it is "partial 16S ribosomal RNA". It matches the Rfam family "Bacterial small subunit ribosomal RNA", at positions 338 to 795 of the family's 1533-position model. The record is from RNAcentral. Lineage: Bacteria; Pseudomonadati; Pseudomonadota; Gammaproteobacteria; Oceanospirillales; Halomonadaceae.